This 469-nucleotide ribosomal RNA is filed under the name uncultured bacterium. RNAcentral's name for it is "partial 16S ribosomal RNA". It matches the Rfam family "Bacterial small subunit ribosomal RNA", at positions 28 to 508 of the family's 1533-position model. The record is from RNAcentral.
GACGAACGCUGGCGGCGCGCCUAACACAUGCAAGUCGAACGGAGCUGAGAGAAGCUUGCUUUUCUUAGCUUAGUGGCGAACGGGUGAGUAACGCGUGAGUAACCUGCCCUGGAGUGGGGGACAACAGUUGGAAACGACUGCUAAUACCGCAUAAGCCCACGAUCCGGCAUCGGAUUGAGGGAAAAGGAUUUAUUCGCUUCAGGAUGGACUCGCGUCCAAUUAGCUAGUUGGUGAGGUAACGGCCCACCAAGGCGACGACUGGUAGCCGGACUGAGAGGUUGAACGGCCACAUUGGGACUGAGACACGGCCCAGACUCCUACGGGAGGCAGCAGUGGGGGAUAUUGCACAAUGGGGGAAACCCUGAUGCAGCGACGCCGCGUGGAGGAAGAAGGUUUUCGGAUUGUAAACUCCUGUCGUUAGGGACGAUAAUGACGGUACCUAACAAGAAAGCACCGGCUAACUACGUGC